This 3871-nucleotide long non-coding RNA is filed under the name Nicotiana tabacum (common tobacco). RNAcentral describes it as "long non-coding RNA (NTAB_LNC013202)". Lineage: Eukaryota; Viridiplantae; Streptophyta; Magnoliopsida; Solanales; Solanaceae. The record is from RNAcentral.
CAUGUGCCAGCUGCUAAUGCAAUAAAUUCGGAUUGCAUAGUAGAAUGAGAAAUGCAAGUUUGUUUCUUGGAUGCCCAACAAAUGGCGACACCCCCCAAGGUAAAUAUUCAACUUGAGUAUUACUUGUAAACCUUGAAAGUUUACUAACGGCAAAUACUAUAUCAGAGCACUGAGCCAACUUUUUAGAUUGAAUGAAGUUACUAAGCUAGUCACCUCACCUUUCUUUCUUACAUGCCCUUAUUAGUAGUAGCCAAGUGCAUAGCAUACAUCAAACUGCCAAUUGCAUUGAGCCACUGUUCCUCCAGUCUUUUCAGUUAGUUUGAUACUUGAAUCAUAUGAAGUUUUAGACUCCACUAUGCCCAGAUGACUGAACUUGGUAAGAAUAUUAUCAAUGUAAUGAGUUUGUGAUAAAGUCACUAUCUUAUCGCUUCUUUGAACUUUGAUACCUAAGAUAGUAUCUACUUCAUUCAAUCUUUCAUUUUAAAGACUGAAGUUAGAUACUUCUUAGUCUUAGAAAUUCCAAGCAUGUUCGUAUCAAAAAUCAACAUGUCGUCUGCUAGUAGCAAACCUGUUGUUGUAUGUGAAAGAAAGAAAAGUAGACAAAACAAAAGAAAGAAAAAUAAAAAAGAGAUGAACUUAUGAUAUAAGCUCUUAUAUCCGCAUUCAAUUAAUAAAGAGUUAUUCUUUGUGUGACUAUGAAGUAGGCAAAAUUUCCGAACCACGUAAAUAUUGUCUUGUCUUGUGCAAUUUAUUGCUUUUCUCUUUCAAAUAUGUUUCUCUUCUAUUAGCCUGACACGUUUCCCAACAACUGGUAUCAGAGCACAGACAAUGUAAUUCUGGUAAAAAAGUACGUUAUCAGUGCAGGUACUAUUCACAAGAAUAGUGCGACAUUAUUGAUCAUCGUUAUUAUUCACAUAAAUUAUUUUUGUGAAAAAUAGCAUCGGAAGAAGGGAAUGUUAAUAUUGACAAGUUCAAUGGUAAAUAUUUUGAAUUCUAAAAAAUACAAAUAGAGGAUUAUUUGUACCAGAAAAGAUUACACUUACCUCUGACCGAGGUAAAACCAGAGAAUAUGGCCAAAGCGGAUUGGGAUCUAUUAGAUCGCCAAGCUCUUCGUGCGAUUCGUUUGACGCUAACACGAAAUGAGACGUUUAACAUCAUUAACGAGAAGACCACUGCAUGCUUGAUGAAGGCAUUAUCAAAUAUGUACGAGAAGCCAUCUACUUCAAAUAAUGUCUAUUUGAUGCGUCGAUUGUUCAACUUAAAGAUGAAAAAAAGUGGAUCUGUCACGGAACAUAUCAAUGAGUUUAAUGUAAUAUUAACUCAGUUGAGUUCUGUCAAUAUAAUAUUCGAUAAUGAAAUCAGGGCAUUGAUUCUACUAUAAUCUUUAUUGGAAAGUUGGUCUGCAAUAGUAAUUGCAGUUAGCAGUUCAUCGGGAAGUACCAAACUCAAAUUGGAUGAUAUUAGAGACUUGCUUCUAAGUGAAGAUAUUUGCCAGAGAGAAUCAAGUGAUUCCCCAGGAUUUGCUUUGAAUACCGAAAGCAGGGGGAGAAACAGCCAAAGAGGACAAAGUCAUGGUCGUGGCAGAUCAAAGUCAAGGAGAAGAGGAAAAUUCAAAAAUCGCAAAGACAUUAUGUGUUGGAAUUGCGAUAAAAAGGGUCACUACAAUAGUCAGUGAUGAUAAUUCAGCAAAUGCAAUUGCUGAACAAGUUGGUGAUGUACUAAUUUGUUUUAUAGACAGUCCAGUCGAAUCUUGGAUUCUCGACUUAAGUGCAUCAUUUUACUCUACAUCAUGCAAAGAAUUAUUGCAUAAUUAUAUUGCUGGAAAAUUUGGGAUGGUUUAUCUAGCAGACGGCGAACCUCUAGACAUUGUCGGGAAAUGUGAAGUUCAUAUAAAGGCUUCACAAGGCACGCUAUGAAAAUUGCAAAAUGUCUGACAUGUUCCUAACCUCAAGAAAAAUCUGAUAUCUAUGGGUCAGAUUGACAGUGAAGGAUAUACAACAAUAUUCGGUAACGGAUCGUGGAAGAUAACUAAAGGAAAUUUGACUGUGGCACGAGGCUUUAAGAAGGGAACAUUGUGUGCAACUGCAAUACAGAGAGAUAUUAUAGCAACAAUUGAUCAUGGUCGUGAUACAACAUUGUGGCACCGAAGGCUCGGGCAUAUGAGUGAGAAGGGAAUGAAGUUGUUGGCAUCCAAAGAAAAGUUGCCAAACCUAAAGCAAGUUGAAUUAGGUUUGUGCGAAGAUUGCAUUUACGGGAAACAGAAGAGAGUUAGUUUCUCAAAGGUGGAAAGGACGCCAAAGAAAGAGAAGCUGGAACUAGUGCAUACAGAUGUGUGGGGACCAGCACUUGUAACCUUCGUUGAUGAUUCCACAAGAAAGGUAUGGGUUUAUUUUCUGAAAAAUAAAUCUCAUGUGUUUGUUACCUUUAAAAGAUGGAAAGCUGAAGUUGAAAAACAUAACCCUGAAUGAACGAGCCAGAAGUAUGAGAAUACAUUUUGGAUUGCCGAAGUAUUUUUGGGUUGAGGAUAUUAACACGGAAGCUUACCUCAUAAACAUGGGACCCUCUAUACCACUGGAUUUUGAAAUUUCUGUAGAGGUAUGGACAUGAAAGGAGGUAACUCUCUCAUAUCUAAAAUUUUUUGGGUGUGUUGCUUAUGUGCAUGUAAACUCUAAUGAUAAAGAUAAGCUUGAUCCUAAGGCCAAGAAAUGUUUCUUUAUUGGCUAUGGUGAUGAUAAUUUUGGUUAUCAAUUUUGGGAUGAUCAGAAUAGAAAGAUCCUAAGACACAUGAAUGUCACAUUUAAUGAAAAUGUGAUGUACAAAGACAAGCUCGAAGUAGAACCAACCAGCACCAGAAGACGGACAUCUAAAAUAGUUUAGUUAGAAGAAAUAUCAGAAAAUAAAGGGGCUAGAGAGACUACAACUGGAUCUGAAAUUGAAGAUACCGAACCAGAAGCCGAAUCUGGAUCAGAAUCAGAAUCAGAACCAGAAUCAGAGAUAGAAAUAGAUGGAGAACCAUUUUUGGAGUCAGGACUUGAAUCAAAUUCGGGAUCAGUUAAUCCUGAACCUACUUUGAGGAGAUCUAAAAGAGUCACGAAUGCUCCAGAUAGGUUAACUCUCUCUCUCCACUAUUUACUUCUGACUGAUGCUGGAGAACCAAAGCAUUUUAUUGAAGCAAUGCAGGUGAUAAGCUCUGAUAAGUUGAAGCUAGCCAUGAAAGAAGAGAUGAAUUCUCUUCAAAAGAAUAAAACAUAGAUACUUACAGAGUUACCAAAAGGAAAGAAGGCAUUGCAAAGCAAGUGGGUGUACAGGGUCAAGGAAGAUCAUGAUGGUAAGACGAGAUACAAAGCACGAUUAAUAGUAAAAGGCUUUCAGCAGAAGGAAGGGAUUGACUACACCAAGAUCUUCUCUUCUGUAGUCAAAUUAACUACUAUCAGGUUGGUGCUAAGUAUCGUAGCUGCAGAAAAUUUGUAUUUGGAGCAGCUAGAUGUUAAAAUUGCUUUCUUGCAUGGUGACCUUGAAGAAGACAUCUACAUGAAGCAACCUAAAGAUUUUCAAGUUUCUGGUAAACAAACCUUGUGUGUAAGUUGCAGAAGAGUUUGUAUGGUUUGAAACAAGCACCCCGAUAAUAGUACAAGAAAUUUGAUGGAUUCAUGCAUAAUAAUGGUUUCACACGAUGUGAGAUGGACCAUUGUUAUUAUAUCAAAAAUCUUGAUAAAUCCUAUAUCAUUUACUGUUGUACGUUGAUGAUAUGCUAAUUGCAGGAUUUAGCAUAAAUGAGAUCAACAGGGUUAAGCAACAAUUGGCGGAGGAGUUUAAAAUGAAAGACUUAGGACCAGCUAAGCAAAUGCUUAGGAUGAGGAUUAGUAAAAAN